Sapajus apella (tufted capuchin) is the source of this 155-nucleotide long non-coding RNA. RefSeq lists it as uncharacterized. Lineage: Eukaryota; Metazoa; Chordata; Mammalia; Primates; Cebidae. The transcript is spliced from 3 exons. The record is from RefSeq and is a predicted model, not a curated record.
UUCUUUGUGGUUGCUGAGUUAUUUUGUUGUCUUUGUCCUUUCUGAAUAAUAAUAUUCCUUAUUGGAUACAUGAUUUGCAGAUACUUUCUUCCAUUCAUAUGUUGCCUUUUCACUACGUUGACUGUGUCCUUUUAUAUACAUAAUGUUUUAUUUCU